GACGGAGGGGGCUAGCGUUGUUCGGAAUUACUGGGCGUAAAGAGCGUGUAGGUGGUUUAAUAAGUUGGACGUGAAAUCUUUCAGCUUAACUGGAAAAGUGCCUCCGAUACUGAUCGUCUCGAGGGAGGUAGGGGCAUGUGGAACUUCCGGUGGAGCGGUGAAAUGCGUAGAUAUCGGAAGGAACGCCGGUGGCGAAAGCGACGUGCUGGACCUCUUCUGACGCUGAGGCGCGAAAGCUAGGGGAGCAAACGGG
Molecule: ribosomal RNA, 253 nt
Filed under: uncultured bacterium
Lineage: Bacteria
Description: partial 16S ribosomal RNA
Rfam family: Bacterial small subunit ribosomal RNA
Source: RNAcentral